Molecule: long non-coding RNA, 3603 nt
Organism: Triticum dicoccoides
Lineage: Eukaryota; Viridiplantae; Streptophyta; Magnoliopsida; Poales; Poaceae
Exons: 2
Source: RefSeq, a predicted model, not a curated record
CGCCGCCGCCAAACGUGCCCCCUCCAAAGAAGUACCACGCAGGUCGAGCUCCUGGAUCACCACGCCCCUCGUGCCCACCCGCCGCCCCGACCAACGACAUGCUAGCCAUCAAUACCGGACAGAUGGAUGAUGGAUCAGCACAGAAGUCACCUGAUUCCCUUUGAGAUGAACCCCAUCGAGCCUCAUCAUCCUACAGUUCCCGGCCGGUUGUUCCUCCUGCUGCCUGUCGACGGCAUGCAUCACCUCCAGCAUAUCGAACCAUAGUAACAAUCAGCACCUACACUUCCCUAAAUUGAAGUACUUACGCCAAGCAUGUCGUCCACAAUUUCUUUUAAGUCUGUCGGUGUUGACGUCGGUGAGGACGCCGAUUAUGUUCUGGACGGCGACCCUCAUAAGCUGGUUGUGUCUGCCAUUGCAGGUGUAAAGGGGAGGAGUAAGGGCGCGCUUGGAUUGGAUGUAUUUGAAUACACCGGUAUUUAACUUACAGGUGUAAUUUACCGAGCUGCGAAGGAGUUUCGGCUGGAAAUGAAACGGCCGACGGAGGUCCGUAUAUUUUCUACAAGGGUAUUUGAGUGGAAACGACAAUCCAAACAUGCCCUAAGAGGGUGGUGGCACCUACCACGAAGUGGGACUGUUGUGGUUCAAGUGGUAUUAAUUUAUUUUGUUCCGUCAAUUUUGGCCCACAUAUUACUACUUCCUUGCAUUUUGUGGGUACCUUAGAGAUCGUUCCUUGUUAUGUUGAGGUUGUGUGUAGAGAUGAUCAGACAAGUUACUUCAUCGGACAUUUAUAUUUUUUAUUUGAGAAUUGAAUAGCAUCCGUGGUUCAGGGCAUGGGUUCGUUGCAUACUUUCUAAUUCAAAUGGUUUCUAAUGAUUCAUACAGUCACAGAAACAAGAAUAAGAGGAGGCAUUCUUUGAAUAAGGUAGAAAGUGUAAAAGAACAAGGUGGCAAACAUUGUAAAGAGGAUCCAUAGUUAAUCACUGGUGGCAAAAUUUUAUUUAGUCUGAUUCUACUAAUAAUGUCAUCAGUGCUUUCAGAAGAGGAGAUUUCUUGUCCUCAUUGCAACAACUACCACCAAGAUAGUGGAUCCGCCUGACAUUGUCGUUGCUGCAGCAUGCCGGUCGGUGAGUCUUGCGAGCAUAGGUUUUGUGGUGGUCAGCGACAGCAUGAACCAAUGUCGAUGUCACUGUCCUCACAAUCCCAGGCUCAUUGUCGAACGCAUCGCUCUCAUAUCAACAAUGUUCUGCUUUGGAUGAUCUCAUUUCCUGUCUUUAUUGUCUUCUAUGCUUAGGUGUGUGUAUGAAAGAAUGCCUUCUGAUGUGCCCUGGGUUAAAAGAAGGAUCAGUGCAUGCUUAAAUGUAAUACUUCAGUAAUGGGGUAGUGUAGCUGCCUUGAAGUGAUUUAGGUUGGUAGCUUUGCUUGGUGUACAAAAGGUUUGCAAUGCUUGUAUCCAUGUGCUUUUGGUUAGCUUAAUCCAAUUGUCUUGGUUCCUCUUAGUAUGCAGGUGUAUCCUCUAAUGAUAUGGUGCUUCUAUGAUGUAAAGGUUCCUAUUAUGAAACUACUUUUUUAUGCAUUCCAUUAACUGCAUGAUCCUAUGCACGUAGAUGUAAUUUUAGCAUACCUAACAUUUGAUAGUAUACAACUAUACAUAAUUCAUGUGACAUGUACGUCUUUUUUGUUCUAAAGAGAAAUUCCACUAGGGGAAAAAAUGAGCAUUCUCUUGAUAUAGCUGGUAUGAACUGAAUAGCAAAGCAAUUGAGUUAUGGUCUCUUGUUAAUUGUCUCAUUUCUUAUUUUCUUGGCCUUGUGGUUUGGAUUAGAAAGCCAAUGAAAUCAAUGCAUCAGAAUUUGAUUUUGGAUGACUACAUAUGCUUAAUAAUUGUGUUUUUUUUUGUGGGGUUUAGGAAUUAUGGCUACAACUAGCGCCUCGGUAUUUGCAUAUAAAAAGGUGAUUUUGUUUGGCAAUUGCAUAUGUUUGCGAACAAGAGGGUUUCUCAUCAUGCACAGAGAAAUAAUUUAUUGUAUCUGUAUAUUUUACUAGACCAUUGGCGCCCUUUUGAGCCAGGAUAUAACAUGAUAUGUGUUCCCUGACAUGGUAAUCUAAGAAUUUUUUGUUAGUUUAUAUCAUGCAGUGUGUCCCCUGGUAGCUCAGCUUUCAGAUAAUUACAGAACUAUAGCAAUAAAAUCCCAUUGGUGCUUUAUGCAGGAUUGGAGCUUUGACACAAUAGGAAAUUAUAGCAAGGUCUUAGUGAAUGCAUAUCUUGGUCCUGGAAAUUGAUCUUAUAUCUCUACCUCUUUGCAUUAUGUGCUUGUUUUUUCUACCUUGGAUUUUUAGAUCAUUAAUGGAUAUAUUAUUACCGAAAAAGGGUGAUAGUCUGGCUAGACUGAGAUUGAAGUUGUGGACUUGUCGUUGUAUCCAUAUGUAGUCAUGUUUUUUUCAGUUCCUUAUGACGCUGAUUGUAACUUUUGCCUGCUAUUGAAAAUGGCAUGCACUCAAUAAAGUGUUUAGGUUGAAGACAAAUGUUUAGAGCACAUCACAUAAUUGUCAUUUGUCUUACUCUGGCAUUCUUCUCAAAUUUAGAAGAAUCAGGUUCCACUGUCAAGGUGAUCUCAUAAAGCACCAUUAGUUGAUUUGUUAUUACUAAUAAAUACAUUCGUUGGAUGGAUAAGUAUUCUCUACCUGCACAAGGGAGUUGUAUAUGCAUGGCCCUGUGUAUUACUCAGUCAGUUUUACUUAUCAAUGCAUACAAUUAUUUUUCUUAAGCAGUCAAAGUCAAGUUGGAUUCCAAGGGAAUGGAUUGGCAUUAUUUGCUAUAAGCAUAUAUAUUAGAUGAUGGCAAUAUCAGCUCCGUUAUGCAGAUAUACCAGAGUAGCUGAGUGCCAUAUGCCUACGACUAACAUACUGCUGUAUAUUAUUGCCAUAUGCUUUUGUUUGGGUGAAAUAAACUUGUAAUUAUUGCCUUCUUUGGAACUCCCUAAACAGUGAAAAGGAGUUUCAUCAGAAAAGAAGACAUGUGAAGGAAAUUAAGCAGGAACGGGAGUGAGGGAGGCAAGUCAGAAGGUGAUGCUUCACGCGGGAUUGGAUACUUUCCUAGGAUUUCAUAAUGUUAGAACCUUGUUCGAUGAUUGUUGUGUGACAAUUUUGAGAUACGGUUUAGGCAACCUUGCUCUUCACCAUUCAAGGUUAUUUUCCUUUUCUUUACUGCCUAACACUUCCAGAGGGGUGUAAGGAAAGCAAAGAAGGAGAAAAAAUUCGAAGAGAGUACCUCUAUCUGGAAAUGCCAAUUUUCCACUGCUCAAGCCUGAAGUGAAUGAACCCAUAUACAAUUGAACGAUGAUGUUAUUCAUAUUGUUUGACCUUGUACUUGCUGUUUGGAAGAACCUACGGAGGACUUUCAUUGUCAUUAAGAAGUCUUCCAUAUAUAGCCCAAACCAAUUCACGGUGCUUAUCACAUUUUGCUCUCCCGAAUGUACCACCCCCUCUACCAUUUUUAUUAUUCUUCUAUAUAUUUUAGUUUUAAUGAAUGAAAAGCGGCGCGGCAAAGCGCGCGUUUGCUUCUAGUUACAGUGUAAUUUACUCAAAAUUACUGAACUUACAAAUACA